This 435-nucleotide ribosomal RNA is filed under the name Paraburkholderia bonniea. RNAcentral's name for it is "16S ribosomal RNA". It matches the Rfam family "Bacterial small subunit ribosomal RNA", at positions 373 to 801 of the family's 1533-position model. Lineage: Bacteria; Pseudomonadati; Pseudomonadota; Betaproteobacteria; Burkholderiales; Burkholderiaceae. The record is from RNAcentral.
GGGCGCAGCCUGAUCCAGCAAUGCCGCGUGUGUGAAGAAGGCCUUCGGGUUGUAAAGCACUUUUGUCCGGAAAGAAAACUUCAGCCCUAAUACGGCAGGAGGAUGACGGUACCGGAAGAAUAAGCACCGGCUAACUACGUGCCAGCAGCCGCGGUAAUACGUAGGGUGCAAGCGUUAAUCGGAAUUACUGGGCGUAAAGCGUGCGCAGGCGGUUCGCUAAGACAGAUGUGAAAUCCCCGGGCUUAACCUGGGAACUGCAUUUGUGACUGGCGGGCUAGAGUAUGGCAGAGGGGGGUAGAAUUCCACGUGUAGCAGUGAAAUGCGUAGAGAUGUGGAGGAAUACCGAUGGCGAAGGCAGCCCCCUGGGCCAAUACUGACGCUCAUGCACGAAAGCGUGGGGAGCAAACAGGAUUAGAUACCCUGGNNNUCCACGCA